AGCGGUUGGCCGGCGGUGCUACACAUGCAAGUCGAACGAGAAAGUGGAGCAAUCCAUGAGUAAAGUGGCGACCGGGUGAGUAACACGUGACUAACCUACCCUGAAGUGGGGAAUAACCUCGGGAAACCGGGGCUAAUACCGCAUAACAUCGCGAGCUGUAAACGCUUGUGAUCAAAGGAGCAAUUCGCUUUAGGAGGGGGUCGCGGCUGAUUAGCUAGUUGGUGAGGUAACGGCUCACCAAGGCAAAGAUCAGUAUCCGGCCUGAGAGGGCGCACGGACACACUGGAACUGAAACACGGUCCAGACUCCUACGGGAGGCAGCAGUGGGGAAUUUUGCGCAAUGGGCGAAAGCCUGACGCAGCGACGCCGCGUGAGGGAAGAAGGCCUUCGGGUUGUAAACCUCUUUCAGGAGGGACGAAGCCACUCGGGUUAAUAGCCUAGAGGGUGACGGUACCUCCAGAAGAAGCCCCGGCUAACUACGUGCCAGCAGCCGCGGUAAUACGUAGGGGGCAAGCGUUGUCCGGAUUUAUUGGGCGUAAAGAGCGUGUAGGCGGCCAUACAGGUCAGCUGUGAAAACUCGAGGCUCAACCUCGAGACGUCGGUUGAAACCGUAUGGCUAGAGUCCGGAAGAGGAGAGUGGAAUUCCCGGUGUAGCGGUGAAAUGCGCAGAUAUCGGGAAGAACACCCGUGGCGAAGGCGGCUCUCUGGGACGGUACUGACGCUGAGACGCGAAAGCGUGGGGAGCGAACAGGAUUAGAUACCCUGGUAGUCCACGCCGUAAACGAUGGGUACUAGGUGUGGCGGGUGUCGACUCCCGCUGUGCCGAAGCUAACGCAUUAAGUACCCCGCCUGGGGAGUACGGCCGCAAGGCUAAGACUCAAAGGAAUUGACGGGGGCCCGCACAAGCAGCGGAGCAUGUUGUUUAAUUUCGACGCAACGCGAAGAACCUUACCAGGGCUUGACAUGCACUGGAAAACCGUAGAAAUACGGUCCCCCUUCGGGGCCAGUGUGCAAGGUGGUGCAUGGGCUGUCGUCAGCUCGUGUCGUGAGAUGUUGGGUUAAGUCCCGCAACGAGCGCAACCCUGUCCAUGUUGCCAGCGUGUUAAUGACGGGGACUCAUGGGAUACUGCGGGUGACAAAAUCGAGGAAAGUUGGGGUUCGAAUUCAGGUCCAUCAUG
RNAcentral lists this ribosomal RNA (1178 nucleotides) under uncultured bacterium. RNAcentral describes it as "bacterial SSU rRNA". It matches the Rfam family "Bacterial small subunit ribosomal RNA", at positions 32 to 1197 of the family's 1533-position model. The record is from RNAcentral.